CCCCUCUCUGCUCUGUCAUUUCGACAUUUCCUCCCUUCCUUUGGUUCUCACUCUCCCCUGUCUCUGCUGUGAACUCUCAGAAAUUUCCCCCCUUUCUCUCUGGUUCUAUCUCGCUAUCGUUGCUCUGCUACGAAAUCUCUCUCUCUCUCUCUCUCUCUCUCUCUCUCUCUCUCUCUCUCUCUCUCUCUCUCUCUCUCUCUCUCUCUCUCUCGUUGUAUACGUGUCAGCCUGAGUGCAGGAACUCUCUCCGUGUCCAUUUUAGUCCGAAAUCCCCGUGUCCAUUAGCUGCAACUAACCCUUCGAAAUCCCUUCAAAAUCCCUUCCCGUUCAUCCAAUAUUGAACCCUAACCCUAAGCAGCCUAGGUUAGACCGAAACCCUAACCCCCUAGAUCUAACCCAAACCCUAACCCUUCAUCCCACACUGAAACCCUAACCCGAACCCUAACCCUUCAUCCCAUACCGAAACCCUAACCCUUCAUCCCGAAACUGGUAAUCAGUCGCACCUCUCUAGCAAAUGAGUGCUGCUUCUCAUUUUGGGUCAAGUUUGGAGAGACCACUAUGCUAUUGUGGCUCCCAAGUGAAGCUUCGGAUUUCUGGAAAAGCAAAUACUUUUGGCAGAAGGUUUUUCAAUUGUCCAAACUAUAAGAUGAAUAAACAAUGUGAUUUUUUUGAGUGAAUUGAUCUUUAAAGUGAGCAAAACAGUUACUGUAAGUUAAUGUUGGAGUUAGCUGAACGGAGGCAUGAGAGGGUACUUUAUGAGCGACUACGCAUCGAAGAAUCCAAAUUAAAAGCAUUGGAGAAGAAGUACAACCGAGUCUUCAAAGUAUUAAAUAUGACAUGGUUUUUUUUUAGUAAUAGUUUAUGGUAUACUUUUGAUGUAUCGAACCAAUUAUAAUGUAUCUCAGCCAUGUCUACAACUCAUGUAAGACGUUGUACUUUUUUAAUUAUCUAGGUUGAUUAGUUGAAUGUAGUAAAUGUGUUGAAUGGUGUAUUGACUACAAUAUUGGAGGUUUUUUGCAAUUUAUUGAUAUAAUUUUGAUGUAUUA
Molecule: long non-coding RNA, 1046 nt
Organism: Carya illinoinensis
Lineage: Eukaryota; Viridiplantae; Streptophyta; Magnoliopsida; Fagales; Juglandaceae
Exons: 2
Source: RefSeq, a predicted model, not a curated record